UUUCGAAUUAUUUACAAUGGGGGAAACCCUGAUAGUGCAACGCCGCGUGAGGGAUGAAGGUCUUCGGAUUGUAAACCUCUGUCACCGAUCAUUAAACGUGCAGUGAUAACACCACUGUGCCUGAAAAGUCGGAGAGGAAGCAGUGGCUAACUCCGUGCCAGCAGCCGCGGUAAUACGGAGACUGCAAGCGUUACUCGGAAUCACUGGGCGUAAAGGGUGCGUAGGUGGCAGUGCGUGUCAGGUGUGAAAUACCGGGGCUUAACUCCGGGACUGCGCCUGAAACUGCACGGCUAGAGUGUCGGAGGGGCAGGCGGAAUUCCAGGAGUAGCGGUGAAAUGCGUAGAUAUCUGGAGGAACACCAAAGGCGAAGGCAGCCUGCUGGACGACAACUGACGCUGAG
This 400-nucleotide ribosomal RNA is filed under the name uncultured bacterium. RNAcentral describes it as "bacterial SSU rRNA". It matches the Rfam family "Bacterial small subunit ribosomal RNA", at positions 355 to 750 of the family's 1533-position model. The record is from RNAcentral.